Molecule: ribosomal RNA, 429 nt
Filed under: Triticum aestivum (bread wheat)
Lineage: Eukaryota; Viridiplantae; Streptophyta; Magnoliopsida; Poales; Poaceae
Description: partial small subunit ribosomal RNA
Source: RNAcentral
AUGUCCCAUUAUCCUUUCGAUCAUAGUUUUCACCCUAGGAUGAGAAGAUGUCUUUUGAGGCUAGCCACUGAUUUCAGGUUGGACAAUAUGAUAGUUCCAUGGGACGAACUCACCGGUAGUGACACCAUAAUGAAUGAGUUGGCCCACGAAUUACGUAGGUCUGGAUGGCCUGAAUGGACUUAUGAGGAGGUACGUAUACAACUUCUUAGGUUGCAUGAAAGGUGGAAGAAGGUAGUGGAGCCGAAGAGUGAAACUUUCAGAAGGACUGCAACAAAGCAUCCAUUUUUAUGGACUGAAGAAAGCGAGGUCGACGAUGAUAUCUUCAUGCAGCCGCUUCCGGGUUCUACAUCCUCGAAGGACAAGAGUUCUGCAUCGUCCAAGGGCAAGAGUUCUGCAUCAAUGGAGGAUGACGAUGAUUCCUUCAAGUAG